GCCAGUACUUCAACCCCGGUUCUCCACACUACCUCUGCUUGAUCGUCGUUGCUCCUUACCCGGUUCACUCACCCUCAUCUUCAGUCAGUCAGCUGGGCUCGCUCACCUGUCCUCUCCCCUUGGACUUCCCCCACGGCAUCCUCCCAAGUCUCCCCUGCCUCCUCUCUUCCUCGGCCCCUAGUGUUCCCCGGCUCUCUGGUCUCAGUCUCCUCGGUUCCCCAGUGCCUGCGUUUCCCUCCAGUCCCUCAACCCCAUUUUUCCCCAAAUAAAACCUGUUAAUCCCCAGAGUUGUGUUUGGGUAAAUCAGGCACUUAAAGGUCCAGUGUGUAAGAUUUUUGGAUGCUCUGUUUGCGGAAUAUGAAAGAAAUGGAAUAUAAUAUUCAGAUGGAAUAAGAGUUUGCAGCCGCCACAGUUGUUCCUACACACAUGGAAGGACAAGUUGUUUUCAUUUAGUUGCAAUCUGCAAUUUCAUCACUAGAUGCUCCUAAAUCCUACACCCUGGUUAAUUUCAGACACACACACUAUAAUUUGUGUGUUGUGUCAUUUUUAAAAAUGAGAACUUAAGACACUGACAUUUAUUCUGACAUUACUUAUGCCAGGAUGGUGGUGGAGAUAUUACCAUUGAAGAUCCUUGUAACCAGAGGUGCCAACCUGUCUGAGCCAGCUAGUGCAAUGGUUGUGAUUGAGGGAACAGAAGUUGUGAAAGACCUGGAUGUACCCAGAGCUUGUGCCUUUCUAAUAAAGCUGAUAUAUGCACUCCAAACACCAUAUCCAAAGAACUGAAAAAAAACAUUUGAAAAGUUUCAAAAGGUAUUCCUUGAGCUGGAUGGUCUGAAAGUCAGUCUGAAGGUAAAGACCACUCUAAAAAGUAAACUUCUAUCCUAACAAUACCACAAGAAACGGCUGCACCUGUUUUAUGUUGUGUGUUGUUGAGCAAAAUACAGCAGCUGUAAUGUGUAGUUGGUACUGGUUACAAUAAAGUUUGUUGAAACUACAA
Micropterus salmoides (largemouth bass) is the source of this 997-nucleotide long non-coding RNA. RefSeq lists it as uncharacterized. The transcript is spliced from 2 exons. Lineage: Eukaryota; Metazoa; Chordata; Actinopteri; Centrarchiformes; Centrarchidae. The record is from RefSeq and is a predicted model, not a curated record.